UAAACGACUCUCGGCAACGGAUAUCUCGGCUCUCGCAUCGAUGAAGAACGUAGCGAAAUGCGAUACUUGGUGUGAAUUGCAGAAUCCCGUGAACCAUCGAGUCUUUGAACGCAAGUUGCGCCCGAAGCCUCUGGCCGAGGGCACGCCUGCCUGGGCGUCACGCA
Molecule: ribosomal RNA, 164 nt
Filed under: Veronica leiophylla
Lineage: Eukaryota; Viridiplantae; Streptophyta; Magnoliopsida; Lamiales; Plantaginaceae
Description: 5.8S ribosomal RNA
Rfam family: 5.8S ribosomal RNA
About the family: 5.8S ribosomal RNA (5.8S rRNA) is a component of the large subunit of the eukaryotic ribosome. It is transcribed by RNA polymerase I as part of the 45S precursor that also contains 18S and 28S rRNA.
Source: RNAcentral